RNAcentral lists this transfer RNA (98 nucleotides) under Beijerinckiaceae bacterium RH AL1. RNAcentral describes it as "tRNA-Ala(tgc)". The record is from RNAcentral. Lineage: Bacteria; Pseudomonadati; Pseudomonadota; Alphaproteobacteria; Hyphomicrobiales; Beijerinckiaceae. RNAcentral also lists the same sequence under 2 other names.
CGCAGGUCGUGGCGACGGUCUUGGCCGCUUCGGUCUUGCGGGCCGGCGUGGCGCGGCCGAAGGCAACGACGUCGUCGUGGUGGUCGGCGGUCUCGCGG